CUUACUCACAACCUCCACAUACAUAUUGUUAAAUGAAUCGUGUGUAAUUUCAGAUGCUUUUAUACAUGUCGACAAUCACCCAAGGGUCAAAGGCAAAGACAGGAUCAUGAUCUCCAACACGCAAGAGACAGCAGGAACUCAUGAGGAGCGUGUGGACACAUCACCCUGCUUAUUCUCCUGAAUGCAUUCAUGGCUAGUUCAAGAAACAAGAGAGUUCAGGUCAAGCAAAAGCAAGUGGUUCAGCAAGGCAAAGCAUACUUGAGUCUAUGGAGAGGAAAAGAAAGGCAGAUGAGAUUAGUGCAUGUCAGGAUGAAGUCAUCACAAGGUCCUGGGCUUGUUUGUGGCGAUGGACACGAUUUCUUUCAGCGGUCAUGAAGAGGUCAAGAGUUAGAGCACUUAUGUGAACAGUUGUUUCAAAGUCCUUAGAAUGAGACCCUUACUAAACUUGCAAGUUUGAGCUACAAAUCUAAUUUCAUGAAUAUGAAUUUGUGUUUUAACUACUCUACAAGCAUGGCAGCACACCCACACAGUUCAUUUAACAUACCAAUAUGUUAAAUUAAAUCUGUAUGUGUACAUUUUUACCUGAGUGUCCAUGUGGUAAAAAUGUCCAACAGUCAAACAAACUCUUAGUGGGACACUGACUUGAGAGCGUCUGUUUGUCACCACUCAUCACCAUCUCUAAGGCUAUGCUGAAAGCCUUCCACCCAAAAUCAGCUUUGAGCCUAAUUUGCGGAAAAGCACUGAAGAUUUGGUGGAUGCAGCAGUCAAGGCUUGGAGUGUGGUCCAGGGGUUUAACUACUCCUAGAAGAAAAGGAAGCAACGAUGUAAGCAGAAACCAAAUUCCCCUCAACAUCCAGUCCAAGAUGUUCUGCUUGACGAGAUUUCCAAAGAUUGUCACAUCAGUGUCUUGUGUAUUGAAGGAUUUGUUUAAUUUUCAACAUAGUAAAAGCAUGCUGACUAUAUGUAGAAUUAAGGUGGGGAAACACUGCAUAUAAUGACCAAAACCUGUUUACAAGAAUAAGUCACUGUAUAUUAGUGCAAUAUUUAUAACUACAUAUAUUUAGCUAUUAUCCUAUCCUAACCCUCAAAGUUAGGGUAGGAUAAAACAAACCCCAACAUCUUGCUGAAGUCAACCUCAGCCAUGGUAUGUUUUUGUGAUCUGUCCAAACCUUGUCAGACUCCCAAUCUAGAAAUCCCACAAGCUCUCCGAAUGCGGUAACACAGAAGUGUAGAGCAUGUGGAUUCACCCAGGCACGCAGCAUCUACUCUAUAAGGAUGUCUUAAGGAAGCAACCUCAAUCAGCAGCAAAUGCCAAAGUUUUAGGAAUAAAUUUUGUUCAAUUUAUUAGACUUCACCAAAACGCUUGAGAACAAAUUGGCUACAACCUUUGACUGGCUUAGGAUUUGUACCCCUGUGGCAAGGAGGCAACAUUUCAUGAGUAAAAAACAUUUUUUGCAUCUAUUCAUGUU
Molecule: long non-coding RNA, 1469 nt
Organism: Micropterus dolomieu (smallmouth bass)
Lineage: Eukaryota; Metazoa; Chordata; Actinopteri; Centrarchiformes; Centrarchidae
Exons: 3
Source: RefSeq, a predicted model, not a curated record